RNAcentral lists this ribosomal RNA (253 nucleotides) under uncultured bacterium. Its description in RNAcentral is "partial 16S ribosomal RNA". It matches the Rfam family "Bacterial small subunit ribosomal RNA", at positions 524 to 776 of the family's 1533-position model. The record is from RNAcentral.
UACAGAGGGGGCAAGCGUUGUUCGGAAUUACUGGGCGUAAAGGGCGCGUAGGCGGCCUGUUAAGUCGGACGUGAAAUCCCUCGGCUCAACCGGGGAACUGCGUCCGAUACUGGCGGGCUUGAAUUCGGGAGAGGGAUGUGGAAUUCCAGGUGUAGCGGUGAAAUGCGUAGAUAUCUGGAGGAAUACCGAUGGCGAAGGCAGGUCUCUGGGCUGACACUGACGCUCAUGCACGAAAGCGUGGGGAGCAAACGGG